Molecule: ribosomal RNA, 426 nt
Filed under: uncultured Bifidobacterium sp.
Lineage: Bacteria; Bacillati; Actinomycetota; Actinomycetes; Bifidobacteriales; Bifidobacteriaceae
Description: bacterial SSU rRNA
Rfam family: Bacterial small subunit ribosomal RNA
Source: RNAcentral
UUGCGGCAUGGGGUGGGGUCGCGUCCUAUCAGCUUGUUGGCGGGGUGAUGGCCCACCAAGGCGUUGACGGGUAGCCGGCCUGAGAGGGUGACCGGCCACAUUGGGACUGAGAUACGGCCCAGACUCCUACGGGAGGCAGCAGUGGGGAAUAUUGCACAAUGGGCGCAAGCCUGAUGCAGCGACACCGCGUGCGGGAUGGAGGCCUUCGGGUUGUAAACCGCUUUUGUUCAAGGGCAAGGCACGGUUUCGGCCGUGUUGAGUGGAUUGUUCGAAUAAGCACCGGCUAACUACGUGCCAGCAGCCGCGGUAAUACGUAGGGUGCGAGCGUUAUCCGGAUUUAUUGGGCGUAAAGGGCUCGUAGGCGGUUCGUCGCGUCCGGUGUGAAAGUCCAUCGCCUAACGGUGGAUCUGCGCCGGGUACGGGCGG